UGAAGCGGAAAAAAUUGGAAAUCUUGUGACACCUUCCCGUGAAAUAAAAGUAGUAGCAAGCAAUGAAGCUUAUUAACAAGUGAAGAGAAAAACAAAUUGAUGAACUUUUCACUCCCACUCCGACUUGCAAGGUGUUAAUUCAAAUGACGGAGCUCAACGACUUACCCGAUUGUCUUCUCCCUCACAUACUCUCUUUUCUCAACACCAAAACCGCCGUUCAAACCUCUCUUCUCUCCCAAAGAUGGAACCAUCUCUGGAAACAUCUCCCCACUCUUACACUCCAUUCUUCACAUUUUCAAACUCUCAACAUCUUCACCGAAUUCGUCUCUAGGGUUUUUAGGCUGCGGGAAUCAUGUUUUGUUUAUAUGCUAUUUGGUGCGGGCUCUUUUGUUUAUACUCCGCUGGCUGCUAGAGUUUACAGAUGUAACAUCAUUGACAGUCUCAACAACUACUCUUCAGGGUAUCUCCUUACAUCCCAAUGUGUUUAAGCUCAAUCAUUAUGUCUUGCGUAAGUUGAAGAUAUUGAAAGUCAAGACGAAACCUCUUGAUUGUGAAUUUCGUAUGUCACUUUUGGAGGCAAAGUUAUCGGAAAUUGAUUCGGAGGAAGAGAAGGAUAAAUUGAGAAAAGCAUUUCAAGUAGGAUUGGAACCAUCUUCACCCAUACCGGAUGGAACUGUGGACUUUCUGAUUCAAAACUCGCCAUUGGCUCAAGUUGAAAUCAUAGAUUGCUCAAAGGAAAAACCACACUCAACUUCUUAAAGAGAGAUUGUUAUGAUUGGUUUAUAGUUUCUGUUUGCUUCUUUGUUUCUGUUUGCAUCGAUUAAAAGUACUUCAUUUUGAGAACAACAAAUCUCCUUUAUUCAAUGCAUAGAUAAUUUGUUUGUGGUUUUGGUUAAGUCAUUGUUCAGAAUUAUGAUUGUUUUUUGUGUUUGUUAUUCACUUAAGAAGAAGCUUAAAUACUGGAGAUGCAUCUCUUGAAGCAAUUAUGAGACGCUUAGUGAAGUUUGGUUAUAACUGAAUGUAACAAUCCAAUGAAGUGGUGAUUCGCUUAGCUAGGGUUGAGAACUCUGCUAUUCCACCCUAACAUUAAUUAGGCUGCAAUAUAGGCAGAAAUGUAAACUAAGUUUAAUAUAUAAAAAAGCAUGGGGAGGUAAAAACAUCACCCUCAUGCUUAACAACUCACCACACUAAUAAUGGUGAUAACUCUU
This is a long non-coding RNA of Vicia villosa (hairy vetch), 1208 nucleotides long. RefSeq lists it as uncharacterized. The record is from RefSeq and is a predicted model, not a curated record. The transcript is spliced from 3 exons. NCBI's taxonomy places the organism in Eukaryota, Viridiplantae, Streptophyta, Magnoliopsida, Fabales, Fabaceae.